CUACGGGUGGCUGCAGUGGGGAAUAUUGCACAAUGGGCGCAAGCCUGAUGCAGCCAUGCCGCGUGUGUGAAGAAGGCCUUCGGGUUGUAAAGCACUUUCAGCGGGGAGGAAGGCGGUGAGGUUAAUAACCUCAUCGAUUGACGUUACCCGCAGAAGAAGCACCGGCUAACUCCGUGCCAGCAGCCGCGGUAAUACGGAGGGUGCAAGCGUUGAUCGGAAUUACUGGGCGUAAAGCGCACGCAGGCGGUCUGUCAAGUCGGAUGUGAAAUCCCCGGGCUCAACCUGGGAACUGCAUUCGAAACUGGCAGGCUAGAGUCUUGUAGAGGGGGGUAGAAUUCCAGGUGUAGCGGUGAAAUGCGUAGAGAUCUGGAGGAAUACCGGUGGCGAAGGCGGCCCCCUGGACAAAGACUGACGCUCAGGUGCGAAAGCGUGGGGAGCAAACAGGAUUAGAUACCCGUGUAGUC
Molecule: ribosomal RNA, 464 nt
Filed under: uncultured Klebsiella sp.
Lineage: Bacteria; Pseudomonadati; Pseudomonadota; Gammaproteobacteria; Enterobacterales; Enterobacteriaceae
Description: bacterial SSU rRNA
Rfam family: Bacterial small subunit ribosomal RNA
Source: RNAcentral